GCCCCUUCGGGGGUACUCGAGCGGCGAACGGGUGAGUAACACGUGAGCAACCUGCCCCUGACUUCGGGAUAAGCCCGGGAAACUGGGUCUAAUACCGGAUAUGACCAUUGCCCGCAUGGGUUGGUGGUGGAAAGUUUUUCGGUUGGGGAUGGGCUCGCGGCCUAUCAGCUUGUUGGUGGGGUGAUGGCCUACCAAGGCGACGACGGGUAACCGGCCUGAGAGGGCGACCGGUCACACUGGGACUGAGACACGGCCCAGACUCCUACGGGAGGCAGCAGUGGGGAAUAUUGCGCAAUGGGCGGAAGCCUGACGCAGCGACGCCGCGUGGGGGAUGACGGCCUUCGGGUUGUAAACCUCUUUCAGCAUCGACGAAGCCUUCGGGUGACGGUAGGUGCAGAAGAAGCGCCGGCUAACUACGUGCCAGC
Molecule: ribosomal RNA, 425 nt
Filed under: Actinomadura sp. A17
Lineage: Bacteria; Bacillati; Actinomycetota; Actinomycetes; Streptosporangiales; Thermomonosporaceae
Description: bacterial SSU rRNA
Rfam family: Bacterial small subunit ribosomal RNA
Source: RNAcentral